This 468-nucleotide ribosomal RNA is filed under the name uncultured bacterium. Its description in RNAcentral is "partial 16S ribosomal RNA". It matches the Rfam family "Bacterial small subunit ribosomal RNA", at positions 28 to 507 of the family's 1533-position model. The record is from RNAcentral.
GACGAACGCUGGCGGCGUGCUUAACACAUGCAAGUCGAACGGAAAGGCCCUGCUUUUGUUGGGUGCUCGAGUGGCGAACGGGUGAGUAACACGUGAGUAACCUGCCCUUGACUUUGGGAUAACUUCAGGAAACUGGGGCUAAUACCGGAUAGGAGCUCCUGCUGCAUGGGGGGGGUUGGAAAGUGUCGGCGGUUGGGGAUGGACUCGCGGCUUAUCAGCUUGUUGGUGGGGUAGGGGCUUACCAAGGCUUUGACGGGUAGCCGGCCUGGGAGGGUGACCGGCCACAUUGGGACUGAGAUACGGCCCAGACUCCUACGGGAGGCAGCAGUGGGGAAUAUUGCACAAUGGGCGGAAGCCUGAUGCAGCAACGCCGCGUGCGGGAUGACGGCCUUCGGGUUGUAAACCGCUUUCGCCUGUGACGAAGCGUGAGUGACGGUAAUGGGUAAAGAAGCACCGGCUAACUACGUG